This is a non-coding RNA of Zonotrichia albicollis (white-throated sparrow), 535 nucleotides long. The record is from RefSeq and is a predicted model, not a curated record. NCBI's taxonomy places the organism in Eukaryota, Metazoa, Chordata, Aves, Passeriformes, Passerellidae.
ACUGGAGUCAGUUGGCUGCUGUGAGGACAAGGAAGAGUCAGUGCUUAGAGGAGAUGCCCACAAGGAACAUCAAGGAGGAUUCCAGAGUUUGUGGAUGCACCUGCAAACACCUGAGGGGCUGCUCUGACUUGCUGGUGGUUCAUGGAUGGCUCCAGGGCUGAGCUCAGUCCUCCUCCAUCCCUGAUAAUGGCUGAGGAGGCACGGGCUGGAGAGAGGCGAGGCCGUUUCUUCCUGGAGAAGUAGCAGAAUCAGCAGCCAGCAACAGGAACGCAUUUGUCCCCUCCAGACUGAGCAAAGUCAAAGUGGAAACUACAAACAAAGGUGUUUAUGAACUUCUGAGGGCUCCUGUGAGUGAUCUUAGGCUUCCACCAGGGCUGGAAUAGCAGCUCAGUGGGGGUUUGUUUUCCCUCCUGCUGCAGCCCCAUUUCCUUCCCUCUCAGUCUUCCUUUCUCCCCCUUUUUAAGCCAGGGAUGUGGUUUUGUGCUGUCAUUUGUCAAGGUUGCUGGCUGUUGGAGACACCAUGUCCUGUGGUGAG